This 66-nucleotide transfer RNA is filed under the name Orsodacne cerasi. RNAcentral describes it as "tRNA-Asp". It matches the Rfam family "tRNA". Rfam says of the family: Transfer RNA (tRNA) molecules are approximately 80 nucleotides in length. Their secondary structure includes four short double-helical elements and three loops (D, anti-codon, and T loops). Lineage: Eukaryota; Metazoa; Arthropoda; Insecta; Coleoptera; Orsodacnidae. The record is from RNAcentral.
AAAAAUUUAGUUAAAAAAUAACAUUAGCUUGUCAAGCUAAAAUUAUCUAAAUUUAGAUAAUUUUUA